RNAcentral lists this ribosomal RNA (458 nucleotides) under uncultured bacterium. RNAcentral describes it as "partial 16S ribosomal RNA". It matches the Rfam family "Bacterial small subunit ribosomal RNA", at positions 338 to 795 of the family's 1533-position model. The record is from RNAcentral.
CCUACGGGUGGCAGCAGUGAGGAAUAUUGGUCAAUGGGCGAGAGCCUGAACCAGCCAAGUCGCGUGAGGGAGUACUGCCCUAUGGGUUGUAAACCUCUUUUGUCGGGGAGCAAAAGCCGGACGUGUCCGGCUGUGAGAGUACCCGAAGAAAAAGCAUCGGCUAACUCCGUGCCAGCAGCCGCGGUAAUACGGAGGAUGCGAGCGUUAUCCGGAUUUAUUGGGUUUAAAGGGUGCGCAGGCGGAUUUUUAAGUCAGCGGUAAAAUCGUGGGGCUCAACCCCAUCCAGCCGUUGAAACUGGGGAUCUAGAGUGUGCGAGAGGUAGGCGGAAUGCGUGGUGUAGCGGUGAAAUGCAUAGAUAUCACGCAGAACCCCGAUUGCGAAGGCAGCAUACCGGUGCACAACUGACGCUCAGGCACGAAAGCGUGGGUAUCGAACAGGAUUAGAUACCCCGGUAGUC